UUUUUCUGUGUAUAUUGAAUAGAAGCUUAAUUAGGCCUACUAAAAACCAAUAAAUGAAUUCUCAGCAAUGUUUUGAAAAAAUAUGAAUCAAUUAUGGACAUAGUUGGUUCAUUUUCAUCGAAUAUACUAGCUGAACUAAUGCAGCUUGUCUUCGAGGCUGAAGAUUAAUGAGGAGUGCAGUAUUUCACAUGGCUACUUGGCAGCAGCUACGACCUACACAUCAGGCAGCAGUUCUAAUCAUUGAUUCUCUAAGAGACGAAUUAAAAGGCCAACAAGACAUACACAGCAUUAACAGAAAUAAUGACAAGUUCAAAACGUGAAUAGUUUGUAAACAUUUAUUUGACUUCAAUCAUACUUAUACAGAACAAAAUACAAGACUCAAAGCAUGAAAAAUUUAAACAAAAUAAAAUUGUCAGAAUCCAAACAUAGAAAGAAUAAUUUGAUUUAAUGCAAUCCAAAAUGAUAAAUAUACAACUGAUUUGAUUGGAAAGUACAAUGAUACACUAUGAUUGAUUUGAUUGGAUAGUAUAUUCCUAAUUUUUUUUUUUAAAAAGGGAAAAAUUACUGUGUUUAUGAUUAUGCACAUAUCAUGAUUAUACAAAAAAAAAAAAGCGUAAGCAUGUAUUUAACCGUUAUCUUCAUAAUCAUUGUAAAAUAGUGAAAGUUAUUUUUCAAAAGACUUUUUACAUGGUGUUUGUUAUUAUUUCAUACAAAAAAAUAACAAUAGAAUAGUAAAUGUGUUUUUCACAAAAAUUAAGACUAUAUAUUUUGAUACUACUAAUAUUAUUCAUUAGUUCAUAAUAUCAAACAGUUAUAACAGAUAAUACCAUAGUAAACAAAGGUUAUUAAAUAUUACUCAUUGUGAUCAUACCAAUGAAGUUUUGCACUCGUUGCUAUGAUUUCAUUUAUUACUUUUUAAUAAAAAUAACACUUUGGAUUUUUUUGUUUUUAAAUUGUGCCUACUGUUAGUUUGGCUAGAUAAGUUUAAAUCUUGCUCCAGUGUCACUAUUAGAAUGCUGUUGCAAUCAAAUGUUCAGUAACUGAAGAAGACAAUGACAACACCAGAUCAUGUCUCUUCCACUUGAUGGAGGCCCUGAUGGAAACACUUCUUGGUGCUUUUAUCAGAGACCUCUGGCUCAAUCUCAAAAAGGUCAAAGUAAGCAGCUUCAACCCAAAAACAAAAAACGUAGCUGACAAAAUAAAACCAAUCUAUGAACGGCUAACUUCUGACAGUCUACUGGAAAGGUGUUUGCAGGGAAUGACCCAAAAUGCUAAUGGGCAAGAUUGUCAAAAAAAAAAUUUUUUGGGGGGAAAAAGGGGCGGAGAUAGGUACAGCUUUCACUCUCUGAAUUUCAUUUUGAGAGCUUGGGUUUCAAAUGAUUUUGUACUAAUAUUGGUUGCUCCAUUAGCCUUGUGUCUAUUCAGAAAGGUAAAAAAAAGAUAACAAACGUAUUGUAGUCUUUAGAGGCUAAAAGAAGGAGAAAAGAAAUUGCAACAGCUCAAAUAAUUGCUCAGCAGGGAUACAUGAGGUUAGAAGAUGGUAGAAGAGAGAGUGGGAAAUUUUGGGGGCAAAGGAAGGUUUUUUUUUUUUAUUUAAAUUACUAUACAACUCUCAAGUAACUUGUAUUUUUGAAUAGUUCACUUAUUUAUUUAGUUCAUUUAUUGAUUUAUAGAUCUGAUAUUGUUACUAAUAUUUAAAAAUAAAAAAAAUAUCAGUUAAUCUUUAAGUAAUUUAGAACAGCAAAAUUUUUAAAAUCUGGUUAAAGAUAAUAUUAAACUGCAUAUUACUAUGAUUGGUAAAUAUUUGUAGGCUACCAAGAAGAUUAACUUUUUAUUUGAUUUUUUUAACCCUGUUCCCGCCCUAACAUCAUGGUAUCAAUAGUUAUUUUAUGUUUGACUGCAAUAAUAGUUUCUUUUACUUUGUUAUGUGAAAGCAAAUGACAUGUUUUUAAAAACUAAUGUCACUUGUCAAAUUUAGCUGUUGUAAAAAAAUAAAUAUUUUGUAUUCUAUUGCAUUCUUUUUUGCGUUUUGUUUUUCAAUUGUGUGAAUUUAAUGAGUUUGUAAGUUUAAAGUAACUCUAAAACUACCUGUCAAGAUACAAACUUUGACAUCUUCACAACAUAUAUAUCUCUCUACAAUUCCAUCAAAUGGUAUUUUAUAUUUAGAAAAACAAAAAAGAUUUGGGGAAAAGAAUGAAAAUAUAAAUAAUAGUAUAAAUACAACAAAUAGAUUUCAUUUCUGAACCCAUUUCACUUACAUUCUAUCACAUUGCAAAGUAAAGUAUAAAUAACAUAACAUUACUAAGGAUAUUUUAAUCCCAACAAACAUUUUUGUAGAAAACUAUAUUUAACAUAAACCUUCAAAAUAUGCCAAUUUGAUACUAUCUUUAGCAUCAAAAUACAUUUUUUUCCAAAAAAUACAAAAAUAGUGAUUUUAAAAAAGCAGUUUAAAAAAAAUAGACAUUUUGACUAUUUGUUCCCCCUUCAAGAAGUUGUUUCCCAAUAGUUCUUUGAUAUAUACUGUACAUUUGGAAGUAAAUAAUUUUUAAAAAAUGUUGGUCACAAUGUUUCUUCAAAUUAAUAUACAAAUUAAUUUCUAGAAGUGUCAAAAGAUUGCAAACCUUAGCAGCUUUGUGUCACUGGAUGUGACCCAACUACUAAAUGGUAGUAGCAGUAGCAUUGUUUGAAUCCAAGUUGUGAAAGAAAACUAAAUGCUAAUCAAGACAGAGUUACAAACAACAAGUUGUCAGGAUAAACUACUAAGUGUAGCGACAUUUCAAUUCAUUCACACACAAAAGAUGAGACCCCAAAAAAUUGUUUAACAAAAGCAGAAAUUGAACAUGAAAUUAAAAAAAACAACAAAAAAAAAAAAACACCAAUGAUCUAUUCCAUUAUUAUUAAGAUGAGGUGUUUUCUAACUACUUUUUCUACAUACAUUAUUGUUUUCUUUCAAAUGAACAUUUGCACUAACUAACAAACUCCUUCCCACCCCAUACAAGUCACAUCAAGACCAAAAAUAAAUAACUAAAUAAAAAGAUAUGAGCAAGUAGAACUUUGUUUUCCUUUCAUGUUGCAAACAAAAAGAGAAUGAUGGUAAGAGAAACAAAAUAAAACAAAAAAGCUUCUUAUAGAGGAUGAUCAAAUAAUCCCAAUGAAAAUGUUAAUUCAAACCAAAAAAAAUAAUAAUUAGAUAGCAAGUGUAUCUCAUGCUGGAAUCAUGACUCAUUUGAAUAUCAAUACUACUUUACGCAGCAAUACUUGAAACAAAUGUCUCUAAUACCAGUCAUUGACUGCAGAGUGAAGAAACUAUUUCUACAAGGAAAUAUAUUUUCAUUAUAAUAGGUGUACUGUUUAUUAGUUUGUUAGCAAUAUUUUGGUUAUUUGUUCAAUUAGAGUGACAAUCUAAGUUAGUAGAUGGGGCUGUCAGAGUCAGCAACAGUCUGAGUCGGUAGAUGGUAGUCUGUCGAGCCCUAUUUUUUCCAAUAACAACUUUGAGUCAGUAGAUGGUAGUCUUGAGUCUGUGACAGUGGAGAGGGACAGAGUAGAUGCUAGCGACAGUGGCAAAGAUCAAUUAGCAAGACGAUGAGUGACAUACAGCGAUUGGCAUCAGAUGACAUAGACUCCUUUUAAUGAGGUCUGCGGUGCUGGGCCCAGUGCAUGGAGGAGGGAGUAGCCGUGGUGGUCAUAUUGGCAUGGGCGACUAAUUGCUGUUAUGCUGAUUAUGUCCUUUAUUAUUUAUCUCUAGUAUCAUAACAGAUACAAUAGUUGAAUUAUAAACAUGGAGCAGAAAUUAGAAGUUGAAUAAAAAGAAGUGAAAGAAAGAAUGGAAUUAAAAAACAAAAGCUACAAGUGAAAGAAAAGGAAUUAAAGCUCAUUUGGAUUCACUUAACCAAUGAGGGCAAUAAUUAUCAGCAGAUUUUUAAAAACAAUAAUAGUGUCAAGAAACAUUCUUUAAAGCACCUUCAUGCAAAAACCUGGAUUAUUUUCUUGCGUAGGUCGAAAUACCAGGAGGGCGGUGGCUGGAGG
Long non-coding RNA from Biomphalaria glabrata, 4026 nucleotides. RefSeq lists it as uncharacterized. The transcript has 2 exons. The record is from RefSeq and is a predicted model, not a curated record. Lineage: Eukaryota; Metazoa; Mollusca; Gastropoda; Planorbidae.